UUUUAAAGAAAAUUGUUUGUUGAGUCUUUUGAGAUGUUUUAUUUUCUUUCUGGUUCCACGAAGAUUAUUUUAUUCUAGCGCAGCUCGCCUUGGUAAUCAGACACCGGCUUCACUUUUUGGAGAGAGGAUCUAUCUAAGUUCUGUUUCGUCAAGGAUGUGCCUAGGAAUGACCAUUUUUGAUCUUAUCAUUGACAUGAGAAUUAAAAGGGUAAAACACUAAGACUGCUGACAAGAGUAAUAUUUCGCGUUUGAGCUGAG
RNAcentral lists this long non-coding RNA (258 nucleotides) under Canis lupus familiaris (dog). RNAcentral describes it as "lncRNA (ENSCAFG00000059203.1, ENSCAFG00805014344.1)". Lineage: Eukaryota; Metazoa; Chordata; Mammalia; Carnivora; Canidae. The record is from RNAcentral.